AGACUAGUUUCAGUUUUACACUAGGACUAUAUCAGCCUACUGAGCGUUCUCAACCACAUUAGUUAAGCUAUGUUACACAUUUUUAAAUAAAAUACUUUAAAAGUUUUGGUAUUUUUCUAUGGGGUCAAGUCAAGUGACCAACUAAUGUAUUUUAAACUUUUUUAUCUUUAUUCACAGAAAAGUAGAAUUUUCUGGCUGAAAAAUCUAUAUAUGAUUCCGAGAAACGGUUGGUCAAGUGUGGCAUAUAACUUUAAUCCAAUACUUGGGAGGUAGAAGUGUGUAGAUUCUGUGAGUCUUAGUACAAUCAGUUCUAACAUCAACCAGGCAUACAUAGUGAGAUUCUCUCCACACUCUCCUUUUUUUGUUUUGCUUUGUUUUGUUUUUGAGACAGGGUUUCUCUGUGUAGUCUUGACUGCCCUGAACUCACUCACUCUGUAGACCAGGCUGGCCUCAAACUCAAAAAUCCUCUUGCCCUCUGCUGGGAUUAAAGGCAAACACCAUGUUGGGCCAGACCCUGUCUCAAAAAAGAAAAAAAAAAAAAAAGACAUGAAGUUACUGGAGUAUGGACAGACAGCUAGAAGGAAGAAGGAGCUCUGGUGUCUCUGACAGUGGUUUCCAUGUCUUGUUUCCUUGUUAAUUUCUAAGAGUUUGUUUAGUGGAGGCUAAAUUCUGAGGAGGCGGAUAGGAAACGAGGGUGGGGAGGAUGUGGGGCUACAAUAACUGAAGGGAAUGGUUAAACAAAACUUACUGUGUGCACCCAGAGCUUCUGCCUUGACUCUUUGAACAUUAGUAACCUGGUUUUUAAUGUUCUAAGAAUAUCUGUAAGGAAAUUUUAAUUGCAUUUUUUUUGGUUGUUAUUGAACUGUAUUAUAUAACAUAAGCUAUAAGUUAAGGAAUCCUACAUUACCUGUAAAAGAGUUAUCAACAAAGUACUACUAUUUUUAGGGUUCUGGUGUUUUCUCAGACCAGAUGAAAAUCUAUGUAUCUGGCAAGUGCAAGUUACACUAUAUAUGGGAAAAACACCAAAGUGUUAACACAAUUCGAAGAAUGUUAAAUUGUUCCUAUGCAAGUCUCAAAGUUAGUAUCACAAUUACAUAUUUAAGUCAGUUGCUAAGGCUAAAAGCAGUGAGAUUUUAUUG
Molecule: long non-coding RNA, 1139 nt
Filed under: Rattus norvegicus (Norway rat)
Lineage: Eukaryota; Metazoa; Chordata; Mammalia; Rodentia; Muridae
Description: long non-coding RNA NONRATT002150
Source: RNAcentral